CGGGGGGGGCAAGCGUUGUUCGGAAUUACUGGGCGUAAGGGCGCGUAGGCGGCCUGCUAAGUCGGAUGUGAAAUCCCUCGGCUCAACCGAGGAACUGCAUCCGAUACUGGCGGGCUUGAAUCCGGGAGAGGGAUGUGGAAUUCCAGGUGUAGCGGUGAAAUGCGUAGAUAUCUGGAGGAACACCGGUGGCGAAGGCGGCAUCCUGGACCGGUAUUGACGCUGAGGCGCGAAAGCUAGGGGAGCAAACGGGAUUAGAUACCCCGGUAGUCCUAGCCCUAAACGAUGAGUGCUUGGUGUGGCGGGUAUCGAUCCCUGCCGUGCCGAAGCUAACGCAUUAAGCACUCCGCCUGGGGAGUACGGUCGCAAGGCUG
This 371-nucleotide ribosomal RNA is filed under the name uncultured organism. RNAcentral describes it as "bacterial SSU rRNA". It matches the Rfam family "Bacterial small subunit ribosomal RNA", at positions 526 to 896 of the family's 1533-position model. The record is from RNAcentral.